AACUUAAUCUUUUAAAUUAAAUGUUUUAUCAUGUUUCAUGCAUCAUGAUUAUGCAAUAGGAUGAUUGCAUUAGUUUUCACGAAUAUGCCGCAUUGCAUCGAUUGUUGUUGAUGUGGGUGAAUAUUGGAUGACCCAAUUAGUCCAUGACAGGAAGACCAGGACCCCAUUCUACGGCCUGGCACAGAGUAAGGAAAGACCAGGACCCC
This 206-nucleotide long non-coding RNA is filed under the name Manihot esculenta (cassava). Its description in RNAcentral is "long non-coding RNA (MESC_LNC007135)". The record is from RNAcentral. Lineage: Eukaryota; Viridiplantae; Streptophyta; Magnoliopsida; Malpighiales; Euphorbiaceae.